This 406-nucleotide ribosomal RNA is filed under the name uncultured bacterium. RNAcentral describes it as "partial 16S ribosomal RNA". It matches the Rfam family "Bacterial small subunit ribosomal RNA", at positions 30 to 526 of the family's 1533-position model. The record is from RNAcentral.
AUUGAACGCUGGCGGCAGGCCUAACACAUGCAAGUCGAACGAGUGGCGGACGGGUGAGUAAUGUCUGGGAAACUGCCCGAUGGAGGGGGAUAACUAAUGGAAACGGUAGCUAAUACCGCAUACCAUCGGGUGUGACCAGAUGGGAUUAGCUAGUAGGUGGGGUAAUGGCUCACCUAGGCGAAGAUCCCUAGCUGGUCUGAGAGGAUGACCAGCCCCACUUGAAGUUAGACACGGUCCAGACUCCUCCGGUAGGCAGCAGUGGUGAAUAUUGCACAAUGGGCGCAAGCCGUAUGCAGCCAUGCCGCGUGUAUGAAGAAGGCCUUCGGGUUGUAAAGUACUUUCAGCGAGGAGGCGUUACUCGCAGAAGAAUCACCGGCUAACUCCGUGCCAGCAGCCGCGGUAAUAC